This is a long non-coding RNA of Schistocerca americana (American grasshopper), 717 nucleotides long. RefSeq lists it as uncharacterized. NCBI's taxonomy places the organism in Eukaryota, Metazoa, Arthropoda, Insecta, Orthoptera, Acrididae. The transcript is spliced from 2 exons. The record is from RefSeq and is a predicted model, not a curated record.
AUCGUUGAAACACAGUUAAGUUGAGCUGGAAUUGUUCGUGAAGUCUUACCGAAACUGUGAUCUGGCAAUUUUCCAGCAUAGCUGCACUGAUAUAAUUAUCCCUGUUUUCUCCUUGCUACUCACUGAUAUCGCAUUUGGUUCACUGCUUACAAUACUUCCACAGUCAUCUCUCAAGUGCACGACUUACUAAAUGCUACACCAUCGUCACGUGAAGUAAAUAAACGAUUUUACGUCUUCUGUCCUUACGUCUCCGGGUGGCUUCAUCGUGCCUGAAAAUGGUUUACUCGUAUGGAGAACUAAGGGCCACUAGAAGAUAACGUGAAACAGAUUAUCAAAGAACUAAUGGAUAGGUGAUCUCAGUUGGUGUGCACCAAAAUGGCAACAACCAGGACAAGGCGCAAUUAUUUAUCUGGUAUCAACGACAGUAUGGGAUGGCACCACCGAAAUAAACAAGCAUAAUGAGGUGGUUCAGAAACUUAAAAAUGAAAUGUCACAGACUUCCUCUGAAGUGAUGUCUGCUUGGGCCUCAAGCAAAUGUUGACUGAGUGCCAACAGCAUUUUAGCACAGCCCCCAGCAGUCAGUUCGUUGAAGAUCACAUGAAUUGCAGGAAUUGAGACCAACUGUACAUAUUGUUACAUAAGUGAUCAUGCCUUUUGCAUACAAAGUGAAAAUUGUCCAAGCAUUACAGCCAAAUAAUCAUUUUUCUGUGGCAUUCA